ACGAACGCUGGCGGCAUGCCUCACACAUGCAAGUCGAACGAGACCUUCGGGUCUAGUGGCGCACGGGUGCGUCACGCGUGGGAACCUGCCCUUAGGUUCGGAAUAACUCCCCGAAAGGGGUGCUAAUACCGGAUAAUGUCUUCGGACCAAAGAUUUAUCGCCUUUGGAUGGGCCCGCGUUGGAUUAGCUAGUUGGUAGGGUAAAAGCCUGCCAAGGCGACGAUCCAUAGCUGGUCUGAGAGGAUGAUCAGCCACACUGGGACUGAGACACGGCCCAGACUCCUACGGGAGGCAGCAGUGGGGAAUAUUGGACAAUGGGCGAAAGCCUGAUCCAGCAAUGCCGCGUGAGUGAUGAAGGCCUUAGGGUUGUAAAGCUCUUUUACCCGGGAUGAUAAUGACAGUACCGGGAGAAUAAGCUCCGGCUAACUCCGUG
RNAcentral lists this ribosomal RNA (432 nucleotides) under uncultured bacterium. RNAcentral describes it as "partial 16S ribosomal RNA". It matches the Rfam family "Bacterial small subunit ribosomal RNA", at positions 29 to 507 of the family's 1533-position model. The record is from RNAcentral.